GCGAACGCUGGCGGCGUGCUUAACACAUGCAAGUCGAACGGAAAGGCCCUGCUUUUGUGGGGUGCUCGAGUGGCGAACGGGUGAGUAACACGUGAGUAACCUGCCCUUGACUUUGGGAUAACUUCAUGAAACUGGGGCUAAUACCGGAUAGGAGCUCCUGCUGCAUGGUGGGGGUUGGAAAGUUUCGGCGGUUGGGGAUGGACUCGCGGCUUAUCAGCUUGUUGGUGGGGUAGUGGCUUACCAAGGCUUUGACGGGUAGCCGGCCUGAGAGGGUGACCGGCCACAUUGGGACUGAGAUACGGCCCAGACUCCUACGGGAGGCAGCAGUGGGGAAUAUUGCACAAUGGGCGGAAGCCUGAUGCAGCAACGCCGCGUGCGGGAUGACGGCCUUCGGGUUGUAAACCGCUUUCGCCUGUGACGAAGCGUGAGUGGCGGUAAUGGGUAAAGAAGCACCGGCUAACUACGUG
This 467-nucleotide ribosomal RNA is filed under the name uncultured bacterium. RNAcentral's name for it is "partial 16S ribosomal RNA". It matches the Rfam family "Bacterial small subunit ribosomal RNA", at positions 30 to 507 of the family's 1533-position model. The record is from RNAcentral.